GACGAACGCUGGCGGCGUGCUUAACACAUGCAAGUCGAACGGAAAGGCCUCUUUCGGGGGGUACUCGAGUGGCGAACGGGUGAGUAACACGUGAGUAACCUGCCCUUGACUUUGGGAUAACUUCAGGAAACUGGGGCUAAUACCGGAUAGGAGCUCCUGCUGCAUGGUGGGGGUUGGAAAGUUUCGGCGGUUGGGGAUGGACUCGCGGCUUAUCAGCUUGUUGGUGGGGUAGUGGCUUACCAAGGCUUUGACGGGUAGCCGGCCUGAGAGGGUGACCGGCCACAUUGGGACUGAGAGACGGCCCAGACUCCUACGGGAGGCAGCAGUGGGGAAUAUUGCACAAGGGGUGGAAGCCUGAUGCAGCAACGCCGUGUGCGGGAUGACGGCCUUAGGGUUGUAAACCGCUUUCGCUCAUGACGAAGCUUUGUGUGACGGUAGUGGGUAAAGAAGCACCGGCUAACUACGUG
RNAcentral lists this ribosomal RNA (467 nucleotides) under uncultured bacterium. RNAcentral's name for it is "partial 16S ribosomal RNA". It matches the Rfam family "Bacterial small subunit ribosomal RNA", at positions 28 to 507 of the family's 1533-position model. The record is from RNAcentral.